This 85-nucleotide transfer RNA is filed under the name Felis catus (domestic cat). It matches the Rfam family "tRNA". Rfam says of the family: Transfer RNA (tRNA) molecules are approximately 80 nucleotides in length. Their secondary structure includes four short double-helical elements and three loops (D, anti-codon, and T loops). Lineage: Eukaryota; Metazoa; Chordata; Mammalia; Carnivora; Felidae. RNAcentral also lists the same sequence under 4 other names. The record is from Rfam by way of RNAcentral.
GCCUGGGUGGCUCAGUCAGUUAAGCAUCUGACUUUGGCUCAGGUCAUGAUCUCACUGUUUGUGGGUUCAAGCCCCACAUCGGGCU